AACGAACGCUGGCGGCAGGCCUAGCACAUGCAAGUCGAACGCUCUAGCAAUAGAGAGUGGCAGACGGGUGAGUAACGCGUGGGAAACUUCCUAGGGGUACGGAAUAGCUCAGGGAAACUUGGGGUAAUACCGUAUGAUGCCGUAAGGCCAAAGAUUUAUCGCCCUUAGAUGUGCCCGCGUCGGAUUAGCUAGUUGGUGAGGUAAUGGCUCACCAAGGCGACGAUCCGUAGCUGGUUUGAGAGAAUGACCAGCCACACUGGGACUGAGACACGGCCCAGACUCCUACGGGAGGCAGCAGUGGGGAAUCUUGGACAAUGGGCACAAGCCUGAUCCAGCCAUGCCGCGUGAGUGACGAAGGCCUUAGGGUUGUAAAGCUCUUUUGCCGGGGACGAUAAUGACGGUACCCGGAGAAUAAGUCCCGGCUAACUUCGUGCCAGCAGCCGCAGUAA
RNAcentral lists this ribosomal RNA (449 nucleotides) under uncultured bacterium. RNAcentral's name for it is "partial 16S ribosomal RNA". It matches the Rfam family "Bacterial small subunit ribosomal RNA", at positions 29 to 523 of the family's 1533-position model. The record is from RNAcentral.